This 253-nucleotide ribosomal RNA is filed under the name uncultured bacterium. RNAcentral describes it as "partial 16S ribosomal RNA". It matches the Rfam family "Bacterial small subunit ribosomal RNA", at positions 524 to 776 of the family's 1533-position model. The record is from RNAcentral.
UACGUAGGGUGCGAGCGUUAAUCGGAAUUACUGGGCGUAAAGCGUGCGCAGGCGGCUUCUCAAGUCAGGGGUGAAAGCCCAGAGCUCAACUCUGGAACUGCCUUUGAGACUGAGAGGCUUGAGUACGGGAGAGGUGAGUGGAAUUCCCAGUGUAGAGGUGAAAUUCGUAGAUAUUGGGAAGAACACCGGUGGCGAAGGCGGCUCACUGGACCGUAACUGACGCUCAUGCACGACAGCGUGGGGAUCAAACAGG